UGGCCGCGGUAUUUUGCCCGKGCGAAGGUAGCAUAAUAAAUAGUCCGUUAAAUGUGGUCUGGAAUGAAUGGUUUAACGAGGAUCAACUUUUUUGAUUUUAUUUUUGAAUUUUAAUUAUUAGUGAAAAUGCUAAUAUAAUUAAGGGGGACGAGAAGACCCUAUAGAACUUUAUAUAUUUAGAAUAUGUAAUGGUAAGAGUAUUUUUWUUAUAUUUUGUUGGGGCGACAGUAAAUUUGAAUCAUUUACUUUUUAUUUUAUUAUUAUAAGUUUUUGAUCCAUUAAUAAUGAUUAUUARACUUAGUUACCUUAGGGAUAACAGCGUAAUUUUAUUUUAGAGUUCUUAUCGAUAAUAAAGUUUGCGACCYCGAAUGUUGGAUUAGRAUUCUUUUAKGGUGCUGUUCGUUCUAMAAAAAAAAUUUUGUUCRACUAUAUAAUUCUU
RNAcentral lists this ribosomal RNA (439 nucleotides) under Digitipes jonesii. RNAcentral describes it as "partial 16S ribosomal RNA". The record is from RNAcentral. Lineage: Eukaryota; Metazoa; Arthropoda; Chilopoda; Scolopendromorpha; Scolopendridae.